AAAUCCUUGUAAAUUUCUGAAGGACCCUAUAAACACACCCUUACAGACAACAGGCAAACCAAAAUUGGGGAUCUGAAGAAGAUGUUCGGAAAAACAAACGAGGCUCCGGCGAGAGAGAAGGGGAGUUUUUAAAGGGUUGUUGCCCCUCUCUUGCCACAACAUCAUCAUGUUGAGCUGAAAGGGUUUGUGACGCAGUGUGUUACCCGUUUCCCUUUUACUUCGAUGAUGAGAUGUUGCUGCUGUUGUAGUUACAUUAGAAAAGGCUGUGACGAUGGAAAUUGUUUUGAGCAAAAUCGGAAUUUACCGACUGGAUCCGUAUCUUGGCUAGGCAAAAUCAGAAAAUCUACUGGGAUUGCAGCCAUGGCGGAUUUCAACAAUAAAUUCUGACGAUAACAUAUCUGAGCCUCAAAACAUUUAUCCUUGGAGAUAAGAAGAACAUCUAUCUCUACCUAAAGGUGCACAUUUUGGGUUUUAUUUUGCCAAACAACGGUCAAAACCGGGAUUUGGUGAAACUAGUUUACAAAUUACAAGUGGAAAAGGAGUGGUUCUGUUUGAAACCAGUUCUGGUUUUUGAAACGGCUUCAAGGGAGGAGUUCUCAAAAAGAUAAGUGGAAAAGGAUCGAUUUCUUUCUGGUUCGGGUCACAAACUGGUUUUUUUAUUCAACUCUACAUUUACCUGUAACCACCUUAAAUGAUGAGAUGAUGUGUUAUGCUCUCAAUUGAAUUGUGGCUCAGGUGAGAUUGAGGAGGUUUCUUAGAGUAGCUUCCCUCUUGCCAUUUGAUCCUCU
Molecule: long non-coding RNA, 788 nt
Organism: Helianthus annuus (common sunflower)
Lineage: Eukaryota; Viridiplantae; Streptophyta; Magnoliopsida; Asterales; Asteraceae
Exons: 2
Source: RefSeq, a predicted model, not a curated record